This 1444-nucleotide ribosomal RNA is filed under the name Klebsiella sp. TCP31. Its description in RNAcentral is "bacterial SSU rRNA". It matches the Rfam family "Bacterial small subunit ribosomal RNA". Lineage: Bacteria; Pseudomonadati; Pseudomonadota; Gammaproteobacteria; Enterobacterales; Enterobacteriaceae. The record is from RNAcentral.
CACGGGGCGGCAGGCCUAACACAUGCAAGUCGAGCGGUAGCACAGAGAGCUUGCUCUCGGGUGACGAGCGGCGGACGGGUGAGUAAUGUCUGGGAAACUGCCUGAUGGAGGGGGAUAACUACUGGAAACGGUAGCUAAUACCGCAUAAUGUCGCAAGACCAAAGUGGGGGACCUUCGGGCCUCAUGCCAUCAGAUGUGCCCAGAUGGGAUUAGCUAGUAGGUGGGGUAACGGCUCACCUAGGCGACGAUCCCUAGCUGGUCUGAGAGGAUGACCAGCCACACUGGAACUGAGACACGGUCCAGACUCCUACGGGAGGCAGCAGUGGGGAAUAUUGCACAAUGGGCGCAAGCCUGAUGCAGCCAUGCCGCGUGUAUGAAGAAGGCCUUCGGGUUGUAAAGUACUUUCAGCGGGGAGGAAGGCGAUAAGGUUAAUAACCUUGUCGAUUGACGUUACCCGCAGAAGAAGCACCGGCUAACUCCGUGCCAGCAGCCGCGGUAAUACGGAGGGUGCAAGCGUUAAUCGGAAUUACUGGGCGUAAAGCGCACGCAGGCGGUCUGUCAAGUCGGAUGUGAAAUCCCCGGGCUCAACCUGGGAACUGCAUUCGAAACUGGCAGGCUAGAGUCUUGUAGAGGGGGGUAGAAUUCCAGGUGUAGCGGUGAAAUGCGUAGAGAUCUGGAGGAAUACCGGUGGCGAAGGCGGCCCCCUGGACAAAGACUGACGCUCAGGUGCGAAAGCGUGGGGAGCAAACAGGAUUAGAUACCCUGGUAGUCCACGCCGUAAACGAUGUCGAUUUGGAGGUUGUGCCCUUGAGGCGUGGCUUCCGGAGCUAACGCGUUAAAUCGACCGCCUGGGGAGUACGGCCGCAAGGUUAAAACUCAAAUGAAUUGACGGGGGCCCGCACAAGCGGUGGAGCAUGUGGUUUAAUUCGAUGCAACGCGAAGAACCUUACCUGGUCUUGACAUCCACAGAACUUAGCAGAGAUGCUUUGGUGCCUUCGGGAACUGUGAGACAGGUGCUGCAUGGCUGUCGUCAGCUCGUGUUGUGAAAUGUUGGGUUAAGUCCCGCAACGAGCGCAACCCUUAUCCUUUGUUGCCAGCGGUCCGGCCGGGAACUCAAAGGAGACUGCCAGUGAUAAACUGGAGGAAGGUGGGGAUGACGUCAAGUCAUCAUGGCCCUUACGACCAGGGCUACACACGUGCUACAAUGGCAUAUACAAAGAGAAGCGACCUCGCGAGAGCAAGCGGACCUCAUAAAGUAUGUCGUAGUCCGGAUUGGAGUCUGCAACUCGACUCCAUGAAGUCGGAAUCGCUAGUAAUCGUAGAUCAGAAUGCUACGGUGAAUACGUUCCCGGGCCUUGUACACACCGCCCGUCACACCAUGGGAGUGGGUUGCAAAAGAAGUAGGUAGCUUAACCUUCGGGAGGGCGCUACCACUUUGGUUACG